Molecule: ribosomal RNA, 428 nt
Filed under: uncultured bacterium
Lineage: Bacteria
Description: bacterial SSU rRNA
Rfam family: Bacterial small subunit ribosomal RNA
Source: RNAcentral
UGGGGAAUUUUGGACAAUGGGCGCAAGCCUGAUCCAGCCAUGCCGCGUGAGUGAAGAAGGCCUUCGGGUUGUAAAGCUCUUUCGGCGGGGACGAAAAGGUCCGUGCUAACACCACGGAUCCAUGACGGUACCCGCAGAAGAAGCACCGGCUAACUACGUGCCAGCAGCCGCGGUAAUACGUAGGGUGCAGGCGUUAAUCGGAAUUACUGGGCGUAAAGCGUGCGCAGGCGGUCUAUUAAGACAGGUGUGAAAUCCCCGGGCUUAACCUGGGAACUGCGCUUGUAACUGAUAGGCUUGAGUGUGGCAGAGGGGGGUGGAAUUCCAGGUGUAGCAGUGAAAUGCGUAGAGAUCUGGAGGAACACCGAUGGCGAAGGCAGCCCCCUGGGCUAACACUGACGCUCAUGCACGAAAGCGUGGGGAGCAAACAG